Molecule: ribosomal RNA, 254 nt
Filed under: uncultured bacterium
Lineage: Bacteria
Description: partial 16S ribosomal RNA
Rfam family: Bacterial small subunit ribosomal RNA
Source: RNAcentral
UACGUAGGGUGCGAGCGUUGUCCGGAAUUAUUGGGCGUAAAGAGCUCGUAGGCGGUCUGUCGCGUCGAUCGUGAAAACUUGGGGCUUAACCCUGGGCUUGCGGUCGAUACGGGCAUGACUGGAGUUCGGCAGGGGAGACUGGAAUUCCUGGUGUAGCGGUGAAAUGCGCAGAUAUCAGGAGGAACACCGGUGGCGAAGGCGGGUCUCUGGGCCGAUACUGACGCUGAGGAGCGAAAGCGUGGGGAGCGAACAGG